UACGGAGGGUGCAAGCGUUGUUCGGAAUUAUUGGGCGUAAAGAGCGUGUAGGCGGUAUGAUAAGUCAGAUGUGAAAGCCCUGGGCUUAACCUAGGAAGUGCAUUUGAUACUGUCAUUCUUGAGUAUGGGAGAGGAGAGUGGAAUUCCCAGUGCAGAAGUGAAAUUCGUAGAUAUUGGGAGGAACACCCGUGGCGAAGGCGACUCUCUGGACCAAUACUGACGCUGGGACGCGAAAGCGUGGGGAGCAAACAGGAUUAGAUACCCUGGUAGUCCACGCCGUAAACUAUGAGAACUAGGUGUAGCGGGUAUUGACCCCUGCUGUGCCGAAGCUAACGCAUUAAGUUCUCCGCCUGGGGAGUACGGCCGCAAGGCUAAA
RNAcentral lists this ribosomal RNA (376 nucleotides) under uncultured bacterium. RNAcentral describes it as "bacterial SSU rRNA". It matches the Rfam family "Bacterial small subunit ribosomal RNA", at positions 524 to 898 of the family's 1533-position model. The record is from RNAcentral.